RNAcentral lists this ribosomal RNA (119 nucleotides) under Lepisosteus oculatus (spotted gar). The record is from RNAcentral. Lineage: Eukaryota; Metazoa; Chordata; Actinopteri; Semionotiformes; Lepisosteidae.
GCCAGCAGCCUUAUCACUCUGCAACUCACAACUGGCAACCCACUGAAGCUAAGCACAUGUGAGCCUGGUCAGUACCUGGAUCGGAGACCUCCUGGGAAAAACUAAGGUUGCUGCUGGAA